ACGAACGCUGGCGGCGUGCUUAACACAUGCCAGUCGAACGGAAAGGCCCUGCUUUUGUGGGGUGCUCGAGUGGCGAACGGGUGAGUAACACGUGAGUAACCUGCCCUUGACUUUGGGAUAACUUCAGGAAACUGGGGCUAAUACCGGAUAGGAGCUCCUGCUGCAUGGUGGGGGUUGGAAAGUUUCGGCGGUUGGGGAUGGACUCGCGGCUUAUCAGCUUGUUGGUGGGGUAGUGGCUUACCAAGGCUUUGACGGGUAGCCGGCCUGAGAGGGUGACCGGCCACAUUGGGACGGAGAUACGGCCCAGACUCCUACGGGAGGCAGCAGUGGGGAAUAUUGCACAAUGGGCGGAAGCCUGAUGCAGAAACGCCGCGUGCGGGAUGACGGCCUUCGGGUUGUAAACCGCUUUCGCCUGUGACGAAGCGUGAGUGACGGUAAUGGGUAAAGAAGCACCGGCUAACUACGU
This 466-nucleotide ribosomal RNA is filed under the name uncultured bacterium. RNAcentral's name for it is "partial 16S ribosomal RNA". It matches the Rfam family "Bacterial small subunit ribosomal RNA", at positions 29 to 506 of the family's 1533-position model. The record is from RNAcentral.